GACGAACGCUGGCGGCGUGCUUAACACAUGCAAGUCGAACGGUAAGGCCCCUUCGGGGGUACACGAGUGGCGAACGGGUGAGUAACACGUGAGCAACCUGCCCUUGACUCUGGAAUAACAGUUGGAAACAGCUGCUAAUACUGGAUAUUCAUCGUCUCCUUCCUGGGGGGGGGUGGAAAGCUCCGGCGGUCAGGGAUGGGCUCGCGGCCUAUCAGCUUGUUGGUGAGGUAAUGGCUCACCAAGGCUUCGACGGGUAGCCGGCCUGAGAGGGCGACCGGCCACACUGGGACUGAGAUACGGCCCAGACUCCUACGGGAGGCAGCAGUGGGGAAUAUUGCACAGUGGGCGCAAGCCUGAUGCAGCAACGCCGCGUGCGGGAUGACGGCCUUCGGGUUGUAAACCGCUUUCAGUAGGGACGAAGGGUGACUGACGGUACCUACAGAAGAAGGACCGGCUAACUACGUG
Molecule: ribosomal RNA, 465 nt
Filed under: uncultured bacterium
Lineage: Bacteria
Description: partial 16S ribosomal RNA
Rfam family: Bacterial small subunit ribosomal RNA
Source: RNAcentral